AUUGAACGCUGGCGGCAUGCUUUACACAUACAAGUCGAACGGUAACAGGUUAAGCUGACGAGUGGCGAACGGGUGAGUAAUGCAUCGGAACGUGCCCGAUCGUGGGGGAUAACGCAGCGAAAGCUGCGCUAAUACCGCAUACGAUCUGAGGAUGAAAGCGGGGGACCGUAAGGCCUCGCGCGAUCGGAGCGGCCGAUGUCAGAUUAGGUAGUUGGUGGGGUAAAGGCUCACCAAGCCAACGAUCUGUAGCUGGUCUGAGAGGACGACCAGCCACACUGGGACUGAGACACGGCCCAGACUCCUACGGGAGGCAGCAGUGGGGAAUUUUGGACAAUGGGCGAAAGCCUGAUCCAGCAAUGCCGCGUGCAGGAAGAAGGCCUUCGGGUUGUAAACUGCUUUUGUACGGAGCGAAAAGGCUCUCUCUAGUACAGGGGGCUCAUGACGGUACCGUAAGAAUAAGCACCGGCUAACUACGUGCCAGCAGCCGCCGUAA
This 493-nucleotide ribosomal RNA is filed under the name uncultured bacterium. Its description in RNAcentral is "partial 16S ribosomal RNA". It matches the Rfam family "Bacterial small subunit ribosomal RNA", at positions 30 to 523 of the family's 1533-position model. The record is from RNAcentral.